UACGGGGGGGGCAAGCGUUGUUCGGAAUUACUGGGCGUAAAGGGCUCGUAGGUGGCCAACUAAGUCGGACGUGAAAUCCCUCGGCUUAACCGGGGAACUGCGUCCGAUACUGGUUGACUUGAGUUUGGGAGAGGGAUGCGGAAUUCCAGGUGUAGCGGUGAAAUGCGUAGAUAUCGUGAGGAACACCAGAGGCGAAGGCGGUUUCCUGGACAGUUACUGACGCUCAGGCACGAAAGCAUGGGGAGCAAAAGGG
This 253-nucleotide ribosomal RNA is filed under the name uncultured bacterium. Its description in RNAcentral is "partial 16S ribosomal RNA". It matches the Rfam family "Bacterial small subunit ribosomal RNA", at positions 524 to 776 of the family's 1533-position model. The record is from RNAcentral.